UACGCGCCUCCCCCCUGCGGCGGCCCCGAGGACGUGGCCCUGGCGCCCUGCACCGCCGCCGCCGCCUGCGAAGCGGGCCCCUCCCCGGUCUACGUCAAGGUCAAGAGCGCGGAGCCGGCUGACUGCGCCGAGGGGCCGGUGCAGUGCAAGAACGGCCUCUUGCUCCAGCCCACACUGUGAAGAGCCUUGUGCCCACAGCUGUGCACAUCCUGGGCUUCCUCCACACCUUGUCCAUAAACUGCCCCUCAGCUACCUUCAGACCCAGGAUACAGACGCAGCCUCCAGAAGAAUAAAUGCUCCAUUAGCAGCUGGCUGGAGCUGGCUGAGGCUCUGGCUGGUGACUCUGGCCUCUGGUGUAGACUUCCCUCAGGUGAGUGCAUGGAUGAGAGCUCUACCUUCUCCUGACUGCCCAGGCCUCAGGACAACAGGAGAACAGAUGCAAAAACUAUUGCUCAAGGAAAAUAAAGUGAAAACGAGGAAAAGCAAAAGAAGAUCUGGAGAGGGCUCUCACCUGACCACAAGC
Molecule: long non-coding RNA, 523 nt
Filed under: Homo sapiens (human)
Lineage: Eukaryota; Metazoa; Chordata; Mammalia; Primates; Hominidae
Description: small nucleolar RNA host gene 28
Source: RNAcentral